AGUCGUAACAAGGUUUCCGUAGGUGAACCUGCGGAAGGAUCAUUAAAAAAGUUAACUCAUCGUUAUGAGUCUUAACUCAUAUCAACCUUGUGUGCAUCUUAAAUUGUAUCUGGCAGUUCUUAGCUUCUUUAGUUUUCGGUCGCUUAAAGAGUCGUUAGUUUGAGGGUAAGCUUUGAGAUCUCAAGAUCUUAAGGCGAACCCCUAAACUAAAAACACCUUAAGCUGAGGCUUAAGGAACUUCCUGCCAAAAGUUAAACCUUAGAUUAAUUUGUUAAAGUUAUAAGUUAAGCGUUAAAGUUUAAUAAAUAACAACUUUUGACAACGGAUCUCUUGGCUCUC
This 339-nucleotide unclassified non-coding RNA is filed under the name fungal sp. Its description in RNAcentral is "partial internal transcribed spacer region". The stretch from base 1 to 45 matches the Rfam family "Eukaryotic small subunit ribosomal RNA", at positions 1787 to 1831 of the family's 1831-position model. Lineage: Eukaryota; Fungi. The record is from RNAcentral.